GAACGACUCUCGGCAACGGAUAUCUCGGCUCUUGCAUCGAUGAARAACGUARCGAAAUGCGAUACUUGGUGUGAAUUGCARAAUCCCGUGAACCAUUGAGUCUUUGAACGCAAGUUGCGCCCUAAGCCGUUAGGCCGAGGGCACGUCCGCCUGGGUGUCACGCAU
RNAcentral lists this ribosomal RNA (165 nucleotides) under Tetratheca pilifera. RNAcentral describes it as "5.8S ribosomal RNA". It matches the Rfam family "5.8S ribosomal RNA". From Rfam's summary of the family: 5.8S ribosomal RNA (5.8S rRNA) is a component of the large subunit of the eukaryotic ribosome. It is transcribed by RNA polymerase I as part of the 45S precursor that also contains 18S and 28S rRNA. Functionally, it is thought that 5.8S rRNA may be involved in ribosome translocation. Lineage: Eukaryota; Viridiplantae; Streptophyta; Magnoliopsida; Oxalidales; Elaeocarpaceae. The record is from RNAcentral.